Molecule: long non-coding RNA, 843 nt
Organism: Xenopus laevis (African clawed frog)
Lineage: Eukaryota; Metazoa; Chordata; Amphibia; Anura; Pipidae
Exons: 3
Source: RefSeq, a predicted model, not a curated record
AGGAAUCGCCCGGCUCACAGCAAUACAACUACACUGUGUACAAACUCCGGUACAGGUGGCAGAAGCGGAUUCUGCAGGAAUUUGGUGAAAAUGAAGAAAGAUGAGCUUAUAUUUUACUCUUUUCCGGGCAAAAAACAUAACCGAAAGAAAACACUGUGAGCCUGCUUGGCUGCCAUGUCACCCCAUACCCAAAUGGAGUGUCUCCCUCAUCCACAGUGAAAUCCGGGGGGAAUACCUACAUUUUCUAUUGCACAAAAUCCGAGCCUGCCAGCAGCUGCCGAGGAGUCAGUCCUACUCUGAAGUGCUCAAGUAUAUCUUGGCCGUAGGGAAUUUCCUCAAUGAGAAUGCAGGGAAGGAGGGUGCUAAGGGAUUUUGGUUAUCCUCCCUGCUUAAGGUGGGUUGCUAUUUUUUUUCCCCAUUUUAUUACUUACCUAUAACUGUCAUACUAGUGUUAGACCGAAGACUCGGGGGCACCAACGGGUGUCGCGUGGAGAUCAGUGUUGGCUGCAGUUUGUACCACGAAGACGCCUGUACAGUAUCUGUAACUGCUAAAGCUUAGACCUUGUCUUCUCCAGACACUGAUGCUCAAAUUAAAGGAAAGCCUGAAUUAUACAACUGGCAUAGCCUGUACAGAGAGAUCCCAUAAAACUAUGGCAGCAUAGGUAUUCCCCUGUUCUAAGCACAAUUCAGCAGGAACAGCCCCCUAAAGUUGCUCAUAGUCUACACAGAGAGAUACCGUAAAACUAUGACAGCAUAGGUAUUCCUCUGUACUAAGCACAAUUCAGCAGGAACAGCCCCCUAAAGUUGCUCAUAGUCUGUACAGAGAGAUCCCAUAAAACUAUG